This 30-nucleotide non-coding RNA is filed under the name Mus musculus (house mouse). Lineage: Eukaryota; Metazoa; Chordata; Mammalia; Rodentia; Muridae. The record is from RNAcentral.
UGAGAAGGUUUAGCACGAGAACUUGGGAUC